This 575-nucleotide ribosomal RNA is filed under the name Pichia fermentans. RNAcentral describes it as "eukaryotic LSU rRNA". It matches the Rfam family "Eukaryotic large subunit ribosomal RNA", at positions 50 to 655 of the family's 3401-position model. The record is from RNAcentral. Lineage: Eukaryota; Fungi; Ascomycota; Pichiomycetes; Pichiales; Pichiaceae.
GCGGAGGAAAAGAAACCAACAGGGAUUGCCCCAGUAGCGGCGAGUGAAGCGGCAAAAGCUCAGAUUUGGAAUCGCUUCGGCGAGUUGUGAAUUGCAGGUUGGCGCCUCUGCGGCGGCGGCGGUCCAAGUCCCUUGGAACAGGGCGCCAUUGAGGGUGAGAGCCCCGUGGGACCGUUUGCCUACGCUCUGAGGCCCUUCUGACGAGUCGAGUUGUUUGGGAAUGCAGCUCUAAGCGGGUGGUAAAUUCCAUCUAAGGCUAAAUACUGGCGAGAGACCGAUAGCGAACAAGUACUGUGAAGGAAAGAUGAAAAGCACUUUGAAAAGAGAGUGAAACAGCACGUGAAAUUGUUGAAAGGGAAGGGUAUUGCGCCCGACAUGGAGCGUGCGCACCGCUGCCCCUCGUGGGCGGCGCUCUGGGCGUGCUCUGGGCCAGCAUCGGUUUUUGCCGCGGGAGAAGGGCGGCGGGCAUGUAGCUCUUCGGAGUGUUAUAGCCUGCCGCCGGCGCCGCGAGCGGGGACCGAGGACUGCGACUUUUGUCUCGGAUGCUGGCACAACGGCGCAACACCGCCCGUCUU